RNAcentral lists this unclassified non-coding RNA (381 nucleotides) under soil metagenome. RNAcentral describes it as "partial contains 5.8S ribosomal RNA, internal transcribed spacer 2, and large subunit ribosomal RNA". The stretch from base 1 to 120 matches the Rfam family "5.8S ribosomal RNA", at positions 35 to 154 of the family's 154-position model. The record is from RNAcentral.
GAUGAAGAACGCAGCUAAAUGCGAUAAGUAAUGUGAAUUGCAGAAUUCAGUGAAUCAUCGAAUCUUUGAACGCACCUUGCACCCUUUGGCAUUCUGAAGGGUAUGCUCGUUUGAGUGUCAUUGUACUCUCACACUCCCGAUCUUUGCAUUGGGAGCAGUGGACUUGGGUUUGCUGCUUCACCGUCGCUUACCUCAAAUAGGUUAGUGCAACUCUUGGUUGGACAUAGUACGGCGUGAUAAGUGUUCUUCGCCGGUGCCUCGCAAAGAGGGUGGCCGAUCGGGAUGUUUGUGCUCCAAACCGUCUUCGGACAAUCUCUGACGACUUGACCUCAAAUCGAGUAAGACUACCCGCUGAACUUAAGCAUAUCAAUAAGCGGAGGA